Molecule: ribosomal RNA, 506 nt
Filed under: Spirulina sp. ep4
Lineage: Bacteria; Bacillati; Cyanobacteriota; Cyanophyceae; Spirulinales; Spirulinaceae
Description: bacterial SSU rRNA
Rfam family: Bacterial small subunit ribosomal RNA
Source: RNAcentral
CGUGUCUUCGGACUAGUCCCGGACGGGUGAGUAACGCGUGAGUAUCUACCUUCGGGUCGGGGAUACCCCCUGGAAACGGCGGCUAAUACGGGAUAGGUCGAAAGAGCAAAGGUUUAUUGCCUGAAGAGGGGCUCGCGUCUGAUUAGCUUAUAGGUGUGGUAAGAGCGCACCUAGGCGACAAUUAGUAGCUGGUCUGAGAGGAUGAGCACCCACGCUGGGACUGAAACCCGGCCCAAACUCCUACGGGAGGCAGCUGGGCGGAAUUUUCCGCAAUGGCCGAAACCCUGACGGAACAAGACCGCGUGGGGGAAGAAGGCCUUUGGGUUGUAAACCCUUUAUGUUAGGAAAAAAAAAAAUGACGGUCCCUAAUAAAUCCUCCUCGGCUAACUCCGUGCCCGUCCCCGCGGUAAUACGGAGGAAGCAAGUGUUAUCCGGAUUUAUUGGGCGUAAAGCGUCCGUAGUGGCCCGGCAAGUCUGCUGUCAGAGACCACAGCUCAAGAUUGUGG